GAUGAACGCUGACAGAAUGCUUAACACAUGCAAGUCUACUUGAAUUUGGGUUUUUUAACUUAGAUUUGGGUGGCGGACGGGUGAGUAACGCGUAAAGAACUUGCCUCACAGCUAGGGACAACAUUUGGAAACGAAUGCUAAUACCUGAUAUUAUGAUUAUAAGGCAUCUUAGAAUUAUGAAAGCUAUAUGCGCUGUGAGAGAGCUUUGCGUCCCAUUAGCUAGUUGGAGGGGUAACGGCUCACAAAGGCGAUGAUGGGUAGCCGGCCUGAGAGGGUGAACGGCAACAAGGGGACUGAGACACGGCCCUAACUCCUACGGGAGGAAGCAGGGGGGAAUAUUGGACAAGGGACCAAGAGUCUGAUCCAGCAAUUCUGUGUGCAAGAUGACGUUUUUCGGAAUGUAAAGUGCUUUCAGUUGGGAAGAAAAAAAUGACGGUACCAACAGAAGAAGUGACGGCUAAAUACGUG
RNAcentral lists this ribosomal RNA (468 nucleotides) under uncultured bacterium. Its description in RNAcentral is "partial 16S ribosomal RNA". It matches the Rfam family "Bacterial small subunit ribosomal RNA", at positions 28 to 507 of the family's 1533-position model. The record is from RNAcentral.